UGGGGAAUUUUGGACAAUGGGCGAAAGCCUGAUCCAGCCAUGCCGCGUGAGUGAAGAAGGCCUUCGGGUUGUAAAGCUCUUUUAGUCGGAAAGAAAGAGUUGCAAUGAAUAAUUGUGAUUUAUGACGGUACCGACAGAAAAAGCACCGGCUAACUACGUGCCAGCAGCCGCGGUAAUACGUAGGGUGCGAGCGUUAAUCGGAAUUACUGGGCGUAAAGGGUGCGCAGGCGGUCUUGCAAGUCAGAUGUGAAAGCCCCGGGCUUAACCUGGGAAUUGCGUUUGAAACUACAAGGCUAGAGUGCAGCAGAGGGGAGUGGAAUUCCAUGUGUAGCAGUGAAAUGCGUAGAGA
This 349-nucleotide ribosomal RNA is filed under the name uncultured bacterium. RNAcentral describes it as "bacterial SSU rRNA". It matches the Rfam family "Bacterial small subunit ribosomal RNA", at positions 355 to 696 of the family's 1533-position model. The record is from RNAcentral.